RNAcentral lists this ribosomal RNA (422 nucleotides) under uncultured bacterium. RNAcentral describes it as "bacterial SSU rRNA". It matches the Rfam family "Bacterial small subunit ribosomal RNA", at positions 355 to 774 of the family's 1533-position model. The record is from RNAcentral.
UAAGGAAUAUUGGUCAAUGGAGGCAACUCUGAACCAGCCAUGCCGCGUGAAGGAUUAAGGCCCUCUGGGUUGUAAACUUCUUUUAUAUGGGAAGAAAUGUUCUGAUUCUUCAGAGAUUGACGGUACCAUAGGAAUAAGCACCGGCUAACUCCGUGCCAGCAGCCGCGGUAAUACGGAGGGUGCAAGCGUUAUCCGGAUUCACUGGGUUUAAAGGGUGCGUAGGUGGGCAGAUAAGUCAGUGGUGAAAUCUUCCGGCUUAACCGGAAAUUUGCCGUUGAUACUAUUUGUCUUGAAUAUUGUGGAGGUAAGCUGAAUAUGUCAUGUAGCGGUGAAAUGCUUAGAUAUGACAUAGAACACCAAUUGCGAAGGCAGCCUACUAUAUAAUUAUUGACACUGAGGCACGAAAGCGUGGGUAGCGAACA